This 874-nucleotide ribosomal RNA is filed under the name uncultured bacterium. Its description in RNAcentral is "bacterial SSU rRNA". It matches the Rfam family "Bacterial small subunit ribosomal RNA", at positions 28 to 896 of the family's 1533-position model. The record is from RNAcentral.
GAUGAACGCUAGCGACAGGCCUAACACAUGCAAGUCGAGGGGCAGCAUAAAGGUAGCAAUACUUUGGUGGCGACCGGCGCACGGGUGAGUAACACGUAUGCAACCUACCUGUAAGUGGGGAAUAACCCGGAGAAAUUCGGACUAACACCGCAUAAUACUGAUUAUCUGCAUGGAUUUAUCAGUUAAAUAUUUAUAGCUUACAGAUGGGCAUGCGUAUGAUUAGCUAGUUGGUAGGGUAACGGCCUACCAAGGCAACGAUCAUUAGGGGUUCUGAGAGGAAGGUCCCCCACAUUGGAACUGAGACACGGUCCAAACUCCUACGGGAGGCAGCAGUGAGGAAUAUUGGUCAAUGGACGAGAGUCUGAACCAGCCAAGUCGCGUGAAGGAAGAAGGUUCUAUGGAUUGUAAACUUCUUUUGUAAGGGAAUAAAAAAGGCCACGUGUGGCUUCUUGUAUGUACUUUACGAAUAAGGAUCGGCUAACUCCGUGCCAGCAGCCGCGGUAAUACGGAGGAUCCGAGCGUUAUCCGGAUUUAUUGGGUUUAAAGGGUGCGUAGGCGGACCUGUAAGUCAGUGGUGAAAGUUUGCAGCUCAACUGUAAAAUUGCCAUUGAAACUAUUGGUCUUGAGUGUAAAUGAGGUAGGCGGAAUGUGUUGUGUAGCGGUGAAAUGCUUAGAUAUAAUUCAGAACACCAAUUGCGAAGGCAGCUUACUAGGAUACAACUGACGCUGAGGCACGAAAGCGUGGGGAUCAAACAGGAUUAGAUACCCUGGUAGUCCACGCAGUAAACGAUGAAUACUAGCUGUAUGCGAUAUACUGUAUGUGGCAAAGCGAAAGCGUUAAGUAUUCCACCUGGGGAGUACGUUCGCAAGAAUG